UCGAAUAAUCUUCAUUUCCAUGGAUAAUUUGGUAUAUUUGGAAAGUAAGGAAUGAAAAAAUCGUUGAACAUAUGGAUAAAGAUCCUCUAGAGAUC
Molecule: small RNA, 95 nt
Filed under: Arabidopsis thaliana (thale cress)
Lineage: Eukaryota; Viridiplantae; Streptophyta; Magnoliopsida; Brassicales; Brassicaceae
Description: ATSL090980
Source: RNAcentral